UACGGAAGGCAGCAGGGGGAAUAUUGCACAAUGGGCGCAAGCCUGAUGCAGCCAUGCCGCGUGUAUGAAGAAGGCCUUCGGGUUGUAAAGUACUUUCAGUCGUGAGGAAGGUGUUAAGGUUAAUAACCUUAGCAAUUGACGUUAGCGACAGAAGAAGCACCGGCUAACUCCGUGCCAGCAGCCGCGGUAAUACGGAGGGUGCGAGCGUUAAUCGGAAUUACUGGGCGUAAAGGGCACGCAGGCGGUUAAUUAAGUUGGAUGUGAAAUCCCCGGGCUUAACCUGGGAAUGGCAUUCAAGACUGGUUAGCUAGAGUCUUGUAGAGGGGGUAGAAUUCCAUGUGUAGCGGUGAAAUGCGUAGAGAUGUGGAGGAAUACCGGUGGCGAAGGCGGCCCCUGGACAAAGACUGACGCUCAUGUGCGAAAGCGUGGGGAGCAAAUAGGGAUUAGAUACC
RNAcentral lists this ribosomal RNA (452 nucleotides) under uncultured bacterium. RNAcentral describes it as "bacterial SSU rRNA". It matches the Rfam family "Bacterial small subunit ribosomal RNA", at positions 340 to 786 of the family's 1533-position model. The record is from RNAcentral.